UUCUGGCUCAGAUUGAACGCUGGCGGCGUGCUUAACACAUGCAAGUCGCGCGUGAAAGGACUUCGGUCCGAGUAAAGCGGCGCACGGGUGAGUAACGCGUGGAUGAUCUACCCAUGAGUUAGGAAUAACGGCUGGAAACGGUCGCUAAUACCAAAUACGCUCCGAUUUCAACUUCGGGGGAAAGGUGGCCUCUGCUUGCAAGCUACUGCUCAUGGAUGAGUCCGCGUCCCAUUAGCUAGUUGGUGGGGUAACGGCCCACCAAGGCGACGAUGGGUAGCCGGUCUGAGAGGAUGACCGGCCACACUGGGACUGGAACACGGCCCAGACUCCUACGGGAGGCAGCAGUGGGGAAUAUUGCGCAAUGGGCGAAAGCCUGACGCAGCGACGCCGCGUGAGGGGAAUGAAGGUCCUCGGAUCGUAAACCUCUGUCAGGAGGGAAGAACCGCCACGGUGCUAAUCAGCCGUGGUCUGACGGUACCUCCAAAGGAAGCACCGGCUAACUCCGUGCCAGCCGCCGC
Molecule: ribosomal RNA, 518 nt
Filed under: uncultured bacterium
Lineage: Bacteria
Description: bacterial SSU rRNA
Rfam family: Bacterial small subunit ribosomal RNA
Source: RNAcentral